UUGAGGUGAAAAACUAAGCUAGGGCCUGGU
This 30-nucleotide non-coding RNA is filed under the name Homo sapiens (human). Lineage: Eukaryota; Metazoa; Chordata; Mammalia; Primates; Hominidae. The record is from RNAcentral.